Molecule: ribosomal RNA, 492 nt
Filed under: uncultured bacterium
Lineage: Bacteria
Description: partial 16S ribosomal RNA
Rfam family: Bacterial small subunit ribosomal RNA
Source: RNAcentral
AGUGAACGCUGGCGGUAGGCCUAACACAUGCAAGUCGAACGGCAGCACAGUAAGAGCUUGCUCUUACGGGUGGCGAGUGGCGGACGGGUGAGGAAUACAUCGGAAUCUACUUUUUCGUGGGGGAUAACGUAGGGAAAUUUACGCUAAUACCGCAUACGACCUACGGGUGAAAGCAGGUGAUCUUCUGACCUUGCGCGAUUGAAUGAUCCGAUGUCGGAUUAGAUAGUUGGCGGGGUACAGGCCCACCAAGGCGACGAUCCGUAGCUGGUCUGAGAGGAUGAUCACCCACCCUGGCAGUGAGACACGGUCCAGACUCCUACGCGAGGCAGCAGUGGGGAAUAUUGGACAAAGGGCGCAAGACUGAUCCAGCCAUACCGCGUGGGUGAAGAAGGGCUUCGGGUUGUAAAGCCCUUUUGUUGGGAAAGACAAGCAGCACAUUAAUACCCCGCUGUUCUGACGGUACCCAAAGAAUAAGCACCGGCUAACUUCGUG